ACGCCACGUCCCCGGCGGCGCCACUGGGGUGAAGGCAGCGGGUGCUGGAGUUGCAUAAAACAGAGUUACAUCUUCACACGGAAACUCAAGAUUUGUGCACUGCAAGAGAAUGCUCUGUGGCAAAUUUCGAGAGCUGCCUGGGUGAAGCUGAAGAGCCCUUUUUGUGAGACAGCUCAAGUACUUCUCAUACAGAAAUGCCUUCCAAGAAGCAAGACUGGUAUUUAUUGCAACAGAUACUGAUUAUGCUAAAAGUAACAAAAAUCAACUUUUAAACCAUGCAAUUCAGAGUAUUUGGAUUCCAGCCUGCUUGGUUUCCUCAAUGUUUCAACAGUUGUUUUUUCAAAAAGUCUGCAUUCAAAGCACUUAUGAAGAAUCAACUGACACUUCCUCUUGGCCUGGCAUCAAGUACUGUGUAGUAAGUCAAAUACUGUAUGGUAAGUUGUUCUCUUAAAGGACACUCACGCUUUAAUACAUUUUUUCAACUUUUACUGUACUUUCAAGUGACUUCUAUUCCUGAU
Centrocercus urophasianus (Greater sage-grouse) is the source of this 518-nucleotide long non-coding RNA. RefSeq lists it as uncharacterized. The record is from RefSeq and is a predicted model, not a curated record. The transcript has 4 exons. NCBI's taxonomy places the organism in Eukaryota, Metazoa, Chordata, Aves, Galliformes, Phasianidae.